CUGAAAUAGUGAUCUUUUAAGAAUGUAUGGUUAAAAAAGAAUAAAAAGUUUUGAGUUUACGUGUAAUAUUAUUUUAUUAGAGAAUGUGUACUAUGUAGUUAAAAAGAAGAAAGAGAAAUAUGUAUUUUAGAAAUAAUGGAGGCCAAACAGGGGGUAAAUCUCAACAUUUUUUUUGUUAAAUCAGGCUAAAUAUUAAAAGAGUUUAUUAUAUCAAAAAUUAUACUUAACCAAACACAAAAAUAUCACCAACAAGGAGUAAUCUAUAGGGUCUAGACACACAAGGUUACAAUAAAGGCAUUAAUUUUGAUCCAACUUAGCAAGUAGUCUACUCCAUUUUAUCAAGUUUCCAGUCCAAUGCACGACUUAAGGACUCGUCGAGCAAUUGUCACAUUACAUGGGAAGGCUGAGGAAGUUGUAAGUGAAAAGAACUAGAAGGUGAAUCGUCUUCCAGACUUAUGUCACUUAGAAUAGAAUCCUCCGCCUCAGUCCUCCUUCAACCAUCAUCCACUAAUAACAUAUCAACUAACUCGUAAGCUUCGUCAACAAUGACAGCAUACAACAUCCACAUGCUACAAAUAUUAUUUUCAAUCAUAAUUAUGUUGGGUUUAUUAAUUUGUUACGUGGGCUUACAUAUAUAAUUAACUGUGUAUAAGGUUAUCUUAAAGUUAAGCUUAAUUAAAGUGAUUUAAUAAAGAAUUAAAUUGUUCGGUGUAGGGCAUUCAAAUAAGGUGUGGACACAUUCUUUAUGUCAUCACAUCAACACAAUAAUACAAGAGGAAACAUAUUGAAGAAGAUCCAAAACCUACAAUCAAACCCACAAUCAAGAAUUAAGAUGAUCAAUAACCAAUAUUCAAGAUCCGGAAUUAAGAUGCAGUAUUAAAGAAAUAUUCCCAAUGAAUUAAGGUAUGUUCCACACUUUAUAAUUCUCGUGAUGACUUGAUUGGAGGAUCUUGACAAUAAAGUAAUUAUAUUUUCUAGUUUUGAGAUUUGAUGUUUCAACGAGUGGUAUUAGAGCCAACUCCAUGUUAAACCAUUGAGAUUAAAGGAAGAUUUUAGGGUUAAAUUCAUACUUUGGUUUUACAAAACGUUGGGUUGUGAAUUUCAAAUCCUAGGUAUCAAAAUUUUGGAAUUUUUGGGAUUUUUCAGUAUUGCUACAGCGUCGUAGCAUUGCGACGCCAUGUUAGGGCGUCACGAGCUGCGUUCAGUUAAGUUGGCAACGCCCUAUUGUCGCUGGGUAUUGCAGCGCCCUAAUUCUAUCCCCAUUAUUUUUUUUCUUUCGGACACAGAAGAGAAAAAUAAAAAUAAAAUAUAAAGGUAUCAUCAAUUUCAAAUCUUAGUACUUAAUAUUUAUUUCAGAUUACUAAUUUCUUAAAAUAGAUUAGUUGAAGUAACAUAUUAUCAAAGUAACCUCUCUUGUCUAAAUUAAUUUAUUUAGAAUAUUAGGAGGGUUGUGUGUAUGUUAUUCAUUCGAAUAUUCACCGGUCCAAAUAAAAGGUCAAUAUUUGGCUGAACUAUUUGCACACGUGGUAAUAAAUGUGACAAUUGUAAUGUUUUUCAUUAUGUUAACAAUGAGUUAGUCCAAAGAUAAACUUGAUCUUUGAUCAGAUUUAUUGUCAAUAUUUGAUUACUAUACUAAGACUACAACUUACUAGAUAUUUUCGUCCGAAGAUUAAAUUUCAAUGCUGUGCUAGAUCUCUUGUGAUGGGACGCACCAUUAUUUGAAAUUAUCGAUUGUCCAAUAUGGAUUCCAUGUGAACAUGUUAAUUAGGUUUAAGUUUUCUAUUAAGUUAAUCCAUCAACUUCUACAAUUUCUGCCAACAUCAUUUCAAUUCUUGUGCUUGAAUCAAAAUUUAAGGACUGGAAUGAGAACGUUUUCAUUGUUCUUAGCGGCAUGGAUCUAGACCUUGCUUUAAGGAUUGAACAAUCCACUGCUCUUACGGAUAAAAUUUUCACUAAUAAAAAGGGACUCAAAUAAGUGGAAUCAUUUAAACCGCAUGGAUCUUGUGAUCAUAAAACAUGGAGUUCCACUAACAUUCAGGGGCCUAAGGUAACUAAUGCCAAGGGAUUUCUUAAAGAAAUUGAAAAAAAGCUUUCCAAAAAGCAAUAGGGCUGAAAUUAGCUCGCUUCUGGCGAACUUGGCUUCGUUAAAGAAUAAGGUUGAAUAAAACAUAAAUGAGUAGUACAUUAUGGAUGUCUCGUCUUGCUUUAAGAUUAAAGGCAUUAAAGUUUAAGUUGUUUGAUGACUUUCUCGUGCAUUUGAUUUUGAUUUCUCUUCUUGCACAACUCGAUUAAUUUAAGGUCAGUUACAGUUGCCAAAAAGGGAAUGGACUCCCUAUGAGCUCAUUUCACAUUGUGUGAGAGAAGAAAAAUGUUUAAAGUAAGAGAGAACUGGAAAUACUUACUUGGUUAGUACGUCUAAUAACAAGUUAAAGAAAAAGGAAACUGCAUUUAGUUCAGUUCAAAAGAAGCAGCAAAAGCUGAAAAGAAUUAAGCAAGAGAGCCAACUGGCGGCAAGUUCUCGUAUAUAAAAAAAUGCAAGCAAUUGUCUUGACUCAAUCAAUGAUCUGAUUUACCAAAAUCAUUGGGAAAAAGUAUUUAUUUUUAAAAUAAUUACAGGGUGGACGGGGACUAUAAAUAUCCAGCCUCUGCUGCAUGCAAAAGCGCAAGCCUCUCCUACAGAGUCUAUUCUUCACCACAUUAAUUUCCUCCAUUAUUAAGCUUUUGAUUUCAUUUUUUAAGCGAAAAUAUGGAAAUCUAAAAAAAAAAAAUUAAAAGGUUUUCAAGCUGCCGGGGAGUCUCUUUUGAGAUUAAACCACAUUCUGAUCCAUUUGCCCUCCCAACUUCGGCCAUAAUGGAAGCUUUUCUAAACUGGUUCCUUAAUUGGAAACAGUCAGAUUGAUCUUUUGCUUAAUUCAAUUAUUGCGGAUGCCAGUUCUUUAUUUGGUUAUGUAACCUAUAUUUGCUUAAUACAUUUGCCUCUUAUAAAGAACAUUACAUGUGAAUUCACAUGGUAUUAAACAUAAAUUAAUUGAUGAGAAUUUCACUUCAUUAUGGAACAAGCUAUUAGGUCACAUAUCUCAAAAUAAAAUAGAAUGGCUUAUGAUCCCCCUGAUUUUACAAACCUUAAUGUUUGUGUUAAUUACAUUAAUGAGAAACAAAUAAAUAUAAGGAGAUUAGGUGUCAAAAGAACUUCAGACGUCUUAGAACUAAUUCAUGUGGAUAUCUAUGGGACAUUCCUUUCGGCUUCUUAGAAUGGUCAAUGGUCAUUUAUUACGUUCAUAGACGAUUUUUCUCAUUAUGACUAUAUCUCAUUCAAAAGGAAUCUCAAUAACUAGACAAGUUCAAGCUUUAUAAAAUAAUUUAGGUUAGAUCUUACUAUAGUGGUUAAUACUAUGACGGAUUAGGAGAACAACGUCCAGAGCCUUUUCCUAAAUUCCUAAAGGAAUGUGUAAUCAUCUCACAGUACAGCAAAAUCUCUCUUUCUAAAGAUUGCAACUUAAGUUCUCUAUAAAAUUCCAAAUAAAGCAACUAUUAAACCCCUUAUGAACUUUGGAUGGGCAAGAAGCCUAAUUUGAAGCACUUGUACAUUUAGGGUUGUUCGGUUAAGGCAAGGCCUUGUAGGCCAUAAAAAAAAAACAAGCUGGACUCCAAAAUUGUCAGUUACUACUUUAUUGGAUAAUUUGAAAGGUCAAGGGGUUACAAAUUUUAAGAUCCACUAUCAGGUCAAUUUUCAAAAUAGAAAAUGUCCAAUUUUUUUACGAUGCCGAGUUUACGGAAGGAGAUAAGGUUAUAAGGUUAAGGAUUUUAUCUUGGAAGAAGAAUAUGUACAUAUUUCUUCUAUUACAAUUGACAAUGAUUAGGACCAGGGACAUUCUUGCUCCAGAUCUAGUUUCACUCCAACUAAAGUUUAUAGUUGAUCCCGUUAAAGAAUAAGGUAGGGCCAUUUGGAAUUAGGGAUAUUUAGAUUUCAUUGCAUGUAAUUUUCAUGCAAUACAUCCAUACUUGAUCUAUGUUGAUUGUGUUGAUAUACAUGACCAUUAAGGGUUUAGUUAUGAUAUUUGUAACAAAGACCGCUUUGAUCCUAUAUUAAUAUAAUCAAUGGAUGAGACUGUUCAGAGAUGCUUUUGGCUAUGAUAGCAAAAGUUUUGAUGUCAUAAUGUUAUACACUUAGCAGGUAACAUAUGUGGCUCAAGUGGGAGAUUGUUGGGUUUAUUAAUUUAGCUGGAAGAUCCUGGCAAUAAAGUAAUUAGGUUUUCAAGUUUUGAGAUUUAAAGUUUCAUAAAAUUCUAACAGAUUAAUGAUAAAACAAAAUAAAAAUGACUCAUAGAUAAGUAUAAACGCAAUCGUGCCAUUUUUGCCUACUUUUGAAAAUGAAAGUAGAAAUUUGACACUAAUUUCAUCACCAAUGAGACUUAGUUUGUCAAAAAAGAGGAUGUCAAAGAUGAUAUAAUGCUGAGAAAAAUAGGCUUUAAAAUAAAUAUAACCAUACUCCAACUAUGGUUUUCCAACUAUUAAGACUGGAUAGUUUGCCCCUCCAACUCUAAUAACUAGCUAUUUCGAUCCUCCAACUAUUUGUACCCACCAUUUUAGUCCUCACAUUAGCACUUAAAACCAUAUUUGUGCCUCCAUCACUAGUCAACUCCACUUUGUUCCCCCAACUACGGUUUGUACCAUAUUGAUCAUUCUUCUAUCAGGAAUAGGUUUAGUUCUCAAAGUAUCAGUCCAAUUAGGUCUUAUAACUAAUAUUUUUCAUCAUUUUGGUGAUUAGGUUAUUCUUAUGCGAGGGUCCCUUUUGCUCUCUUACUCUUCCCCAGCUCUUAUUCCUUAGCUGGCUUCGUUCAGCUGACCUUUCACUUGGGGUUUUGCUCCUGGCUGGCCUAACCAAGGCUGUCAAUUUGAUCCAGCAAUUUACAAAUUUCAAUUCUGAUCUCCAACUAUUUGUCAGCAUCAAUUUUGUCCUUUAGCUAUCUGUCAAAACGAACUUAGUCCCUCAAUUAUGCCCUUCUUGAAUUUUCCCUCAAACUAUUAUUUAGCACCACUUUAGUCCUCAAACUAUCAUCAGCGUCAAUUUUUCUCCCUCUAUCACUAAGCGACACUGGUUCUUCAGCUGUCCAUUCCCUUCACUUCUGUACUCCAUGUUCGUUUCAAACGAGUUUGGUCCCCCAACCUCAAUUCGAUCAAGGUAUAUAUUAGAUCAUAUAAUUGAUUCUGUUAAUUUGAGUGAGUGAGUGAUAAGCUGUCAUAGUUGGUAGUUAAUGUUGAACUGUCAUGUAACUAAUUCUAAACACCAGUCAGCCUAUUUAUAUUGUUUGGAUUGUAACACAUGAUACAUGUUUUCAUGAAAUGAAUUUCUUCUCUACGGUUGUUCUCUCCAGAUUCUACUCUAAUCUUCAAACCUUGGUAUCAGUAUUCUCUUCCAUUUAUUCUCUUCAAACAUUAAUAUGGUAUCAGAGCAGGUUGCUUGAUCUGCUGUAAGUAGUCUCAUGAAAAUUCAAAACUGUUCAAACGUAGGGUGCCACUUUCUUUUCCUUUUCUUUCUCUUGGAUAUUGAACUGAGAUCAUCUUCAAGUAAAUCCACCUUAUAUGAAACUUCGAAUCCAUAUUACCUUCAUCAUUCUGAUAGCCCAGGAUUGGUACUAGUUUCGCAGCCUCACCGGAGAAAAUUAUACCUCCUGGAGUAGAGUGAUGCUGAUCGCAUUGUCCAUGAAAAACAAGCUUGGAUUUGAGGAUGGAUCAAUUGAAAAGCCUGAAGGUACUGAUUCGGAUGUCCUCAGCUCUUGGACUAGAAAUAACAAUGUAGAUAUUUUUUGGAUAUUGAAUUCUGUUUCUAAGGAAAUUUCUGCUAGUAUUAUAUAUGUUGAGUCCACACAUGAAAUAUGGCUUGAUCUUAAAGAAAGUUUCCAACUGAAAUAUAAACCUAGGAUCUUCCAGCUAAAGCAUGAAUUGAUGAGUUUAGCUCAAGAUCAAAAUUCUGUUAGCAUAUACUUUACAAAACUGAAAACUACAUGGGAAGAAUUAAGCAAUUAUAGGCCUGUAUGUUCUUGUAGCAAAUGCACUUGUGGUGGUGUUAAGAAUCCUAGUUCUUAUUAUCAGAUUGAGUGCGUAAUGUCUUUUCUUAUAGGACUAAAUGAUUCUUAUUCACAAGUUCGAGGACAAUUACUUUUCAUGGAUCCAUUACCGUCUACAAAUAAAGCUUUUGCUCUAAUCUCGCCAGAAGAAGAUCAGAGGAAGAUCACUAGCCAAGUUGGUUGUACUUCAGAUCCUGUUGGAAGUAUGACGUUUACUGUUAAAUCAUAUAAUGCUAAACGCCCUGGAAUUCCUAAUUCUGGAACUAUAGCAAUGGUAGUAAUCGAAAUGAUUCAACAAUGGAGGUUACAAAGGAUAGAAGAAAGAGGGACCUUUUUGUACCCAUUGCAACUUCCAUGGCCAUACGGUUGAUAGAUGCUAUGAGAUUCAUGGCUACCCACCUGGUUACAAAGUAAGAGACAGAGAUAACUCAGCCUAUACCAGCAACAACAUUGCAAUUAAUCAGGUGUCAAAUCAGAAUGAACAACAAAGUGAAAUGGGGAGCUUUGUCCAAAAUCUCAAUUCCAACCAAUACCAACAUCUCAUGUCUAUGCUGUCAAAUUAUUUGGCCUCCUGUCAAAACUACUGAUGAUUUUACUACUACUUAUAUGGCAGGUAUUUGAAUCUCAAUUGCAUUUGAGUUCUAUCUUUUCAUUUACUCAAUAUUGGAUAGUUGAUUCCGGUGCUAUAAGGCAUAUAUGUUCAACUGCUGAUGCUUUCGAUUCUAUGAAACCUUCUUAAAAUUCCAAGGUCACCUUACCAAAUCAUACUCAAAUCCCAGUGAACUACUCUGGUGACAUUAGACUGAGCUCUAUGCUUGUCCUCAAGGAUUUUUUAUAAGUUCCUCGAUUCAAGUUUAACCUGAUAUCUAUAAGUGCACUCACUUGUGGAUCAAAUCUCACGAUCAACUUUCUUCCUGAUUGCAGCAGUAUCCAAGAACACAACACCGAGAAGAUGAUUGGCAAGGGUGAUAAGUUUGAAGAUCUCUAUGUUCUGGAUAAAAAAAACAAUCUGAAUUUUUUCUCUACAACAUAUGUAAAUACCGUUUCAGCUCAUAUAUGGCAUAGAAGGCUUGUCUAUCUUCUGACGUUUAGAUACUUUGAAACACCAUUUGCAUUGUGAUGUAUCUAGAUUGAAUAAAGCUGAUCUUUGUUACAUUUGUCCCCUUGCAAAAGAAAGAUGAUUAUCUUUUGAUUCUCACAAUCAUAUGUCUCAAUUUCCAUUUGACUUGGCGCAUUGUGAUGUAUCUAGAUUGAAUAAAGCUGACCUUAUCAUGUUCCUUCUCAUGCUGGCCACGGAUUUUUCUUAACCUUGGUGGAUGAUUGUACUCGGUUUACAUGGAUUUAUCUGUUAAAGCAAAAAUCUGAUGUUGAUACUGUUAUUCUAAAGUUCUUUAACAUGAUAUCUACACAGUUUAAUACCAAAAUCAACGUGUUCAGAUCUGAUAAUGCACCGAGCUGACCUUUGCUGAAUUCUUCAAUAAUAGAGGCGUCUUACAUCAAUUUUCAUGUGUUGAGAGGCCACAAUAAAACUCCGCUGUAGAAAGGAAAUAUCAACAUCUCUUCAACGUUGCACGAUCACUAUACUUUCAAUCCAGAGUUCCAAUUCAAUUUUGGAGUAAGUUUGUCCUUACUGCAGCCUACCGUAUCAAUAAAAUACCCUCUCCUUUGCUCAAACACAGUACUCCUUAUGAAGUCCUACACAAACGCUCAACAGACUAUUCUCACUUCAAGGUGUUUGGGUGUCUGUCGUUUGCAUCGACACUCUUUGUUCAUAGAACCAAAUUCCAACGAAGAUCUAGAGUUUGUGUGUUUCUUAGUUAUCCACGAGGUAUGAAAGGUUAUAGAUUAUAUGAUACUGCAUCAAAACAGAUCUUCGUAUUCAGAGAUGUCCUAUUCCAUGACGGAAUCUUUCCAUUUUAUUCUGUUGUUUCCUCAGACGAGUUAAUUGACCCUUUCCCUGAUCUUGUCUUGCCAAUUCCUUUACUUGAAAAGUCUCCCAUCCCUCAGUUUCUACCUUCCAAUCAUCAUAGCACACAUAAUGAUAUUCCAGCUGCUUCCCAUAAUGAUAAUUUUGAAACUUCAGAUGCAGAUCCACAACAUUCCAAUUCUUUUCUAGAUAAAACUGCCCUAAGAAGGUCUACUAGAACAUCAAAGCCUCCUUCCUAUCUAAGAGAAUUUCAUUGCAAUCUUUUGCACCAGAAAUAUUCGAAUAAUGAAACUCCUCCAUGCACCAGUGCAUAUCCUAUAUCUAAAUACUUGUCCUAUAAUUCCUCAUCUCAUACUCACAUAAACUUCGUCCUAAAUGUUUCAUCCCAAUUUGAACCUUGACAUUAUCAUCAAGCCGUGAAAUUUCCACAAUGGAGGGUUGCCGUGACAGCUGAAUUGGAUGCUAUGGGAUCGAAUAAAACUUGGUCAGUCACUUCAUUGCCCAGCGGAAAACAUUCUAUUGGUUGUAGAUGGAUUUACAAAAUCAAAUACAAAUCAAAUGGUACCAUUGAAAGAUACAAAGCACGCUUAGUUGCCAAAGGACAUACACAACAAGAAGGAUGCAAAGAGACUUUUUACAUGUAGCAAAACUAGUUAAAGUUUUGUUAGCACUUGCUUCAAGUCACAAAUGGCAUUUGUUAUAACUUGAUGUGACAAUGCCUUCCUUAAUGGAGAUUUAUUUGAAGAAGUAUAUAUGGAUCUUCUACUUGGUUAUGAUGUGCAAAGGAAAUUGACACACACGGGGAGAAAUUGGUUUGUAAACUUCACAAAUCAAUAUAUGGUCUCAAGCAAGCUUUUGAGACAAUGGUACUCCAAGUUUUCUCAGCACUUAUUCAAUUUGGCUUUGUUCAAUCUAAGGUAGAUUACUCUUUAUUCACCAAAGGAUCUGGUGCUUCAUUUGUUGCUUUAUUAGUCUACGUGGAUGAUGGAAUAGUCACUGGUCCAAACAGUCAGGUAAUAUAAUCUUUAAAGGGUUUUCUCCACACACAAUUUAAACUCAAGGAUUUGGGGCCUCUGAAGUACUUCCUUGGUCUUGAAAUUGCACAAUCAGCCAAAGGCCAAUUAUUAUCUCAGAGGCAUUAUACUCUCCAGCUUCUUGAAGACAUGAGAUAUCUAGCUUGCAAGCCCAUAUCUGUCCCUAUGGAUCCUAAAGUCUAUUCUAAUGCACGUGAAGGUAAAAUUCUAUAUGACAUUUCUCAAUAUAGACAACUAGUUGGACGCCUUCUUUAUCUUACUUUAUCCCAACCAGACAUCACUUUUGCUGUCCACAAAAUCAGCCAAUUUUUGGCUAAACCUCAUAGACCUCACUUUAAAGCUACGCAUCAUCUCCUAAAUUAUCUUAAAUCCAAUCCUGGACAGGGUUUGUUCUUUUCCUCCUCAUCCUCUCUCCAGUUAGAGGCCUUUUCAGAUUCUGAUUGGGGCUCAUGUCCAGACACCAGGAAAUCUAUGAUUGGUUUCUGCAUAUUCUUAGGUAACUCCCCAGUAUCAUGGAAAAUAAAAAGCAGACCAUUUCUCG
Molecule: long non-coding RNA, 9570 nt
Filed under: Olea europaea subsp. europaea
Lineage: Eukaryota; Viridiplantae; Streptophyta; Magnoliopsida; Lamiales; Oleaceae
Source: RNAcentral